Molecule: ribosomal RNA, 253 nt
Filed under: uncultured bacterium
Lineage: Bacteria
Description: partial 16S ribosomal RNA
Rfam family: Bacterial small subunit ribosomal RNA
Source: RNAcentral
UACAGAGGGUGCGAGCGUUAAUCGGAAUUACUGGGCGUAAAGCGCGCGUAGGCGGCUUUGCGAGUCGGGUGUGAAAUCCCCAGGCUCAACCUGGGAACUGCAUUCGAGACUGCAUUGCUAGAGUAUGGGAGAGGGAAGUGGAAUUUCAGGUGUAGCGGUGAAAUGCGUAGAUAUCUGAAGGAACAUCAGUGGCGAAAGCGACUUCCUGGACCAAUACUGACGCUCAUGUGCGAAAGCGUGGGGAGCAAACAGG